This 253-nucleotide ribosomal RNA is filed under the name uncultured bacterium. Its description in RNAcentral is "partial 16S ribosomal RNA". It matches the Rfam family "Bacterial small subunit ribosomal RNA", at positions 524 to 776 of the family's 1533-position model. The record is from RNAcentral.
UACGUAGGUGGCAAGCGUUGUCCGGAAUUAUUGGGCGUAAAGCGCGCGCAGGCGGUCCUUUAAGUCUGAUGUGAAAGCCCACGGCUCAACCGUGGAGGGUCAUUGGAAACUGGGGGACUUGAGUACAGAAGAGGAAAGUGGAAUUCCAUGUGUAGCGGUGAAAUGCGUAGAGAUAUGGAGGAACACCAGUGGCGAAGGCGACUUUCUGGUCUGUAACUGACACUGAGGCGCGAAAGCGUGGGGAGCAAACAGG